RNAcentral lists this small RNA (380 nucleotides) under Pongo abelii (Sumatran orangutan). RNAcentral's name for it is "retained intron". Lineage: Eukaryota; Metazoa; Chordata; Mammalia; Primates; Hominidae. The record is from RNAcentral.
GAGCUGCGUGAGACCAAGCGCCGUCAUGAGACCCGACUGGUGGAGAUUGACAAUGGGAAGCAGCGUGAGUUUGAGAGCCGGCUGGCGGAUGCCCUGCAGGAACUGCGGGCCCAGCAUGAGGACCAGGUGGAGCAGUAUAAGAAGGAGCUGGAGAAGACUUAUUCUGCCAAGCUGGACAAUGCCAGGCAGUCUGCUGAGAGGAACAGCAACCUGGUGGGGGCCGCCCACGAGGAGCUGCAGCAGUCGCGCAUCCGCAUCGACAGCCUCUCCGCCCAGCUCAGCCAGCUCCAGAAGCAGGUGAUACCCCACCUCACCCCUCCCUCCAGGGGCCUAGAGUCUGGGCAGGAUGCAGGCUGGAAGCCUGGGGUUGGGUUGGGAGG